Molecule: ribosomal RNA, 1965 nt
Filed under: human gut metagenome
Description: bacterial LSU rRNA
Rfam family: Bacterial large subunit ribosomal RNA
Source: RNAcentral
UCAAGCUAAUAAGAGCACAGGGUGGAUGCCCAGGCACCAAACGCCGACGAAAGACGUGGCAAGCUGCGAAAAGUCACGGGGAACCGCAAGCAGGUAUUGAUCCGUGAACGUCUGAAUGGGGAAACCCGGCGGGUUAACAGCCCGUCACUAUUAACUGAAUCAAUAGGUUAAUAGGGGGAACGCGGGGAACUGAAACAUCUCAGUACCCGUAGGAAGAGAAAAUAAAGAAUGAUUUCCUAAGUAGCGGCGAGCGAACGGGAAAGAGGCCAAACCGAAGGGCUUGCUCUUCGGGGUUGUGGAUCAGCAAAAAGGACGGAAGACCUUAGCAGAAGAGGAUUGGAAAGUCCCGCCAGAGAGGGUAAAAGCCCCUUACGCGAAAAGGUCAAACGACGAGCUGACACCAGAGUACCGCAGGACACGAGAAAUCCGGUGGGAAGCCGGGAGGACCACCUCCCAAGCCUAAAUACGAAUUGGUGACCGAUAGCGCAUAGUACCGUGAGGGAAAGGUGAAAAGAACCCCGGGAGGGGAGUGAAAAAGAACCUGAAACCCUGUGUUUACAAGCAGUGAAAGUGCGAGCAAGGCACGAUCACGUACUUUUUGUAGAACGGACCGGCGAGUUACGUUAUGCAGCAAGGUUAAGAACUGAAGGUUCGGAGCCGAAGCGAAAGCGAGUCUGAAUAGGGCGAUAGUUGCAUGACGUAGACCCGAAACCGGGUGACCUAUCCAUGAGCAGGUUGAAGUGGAGGUAAAGCUCCAUGGAGGACCGAACCAGACGUCUGUUGAAAAAGGCGGGGAUGACUUGUGGAUAGGGGAGAAAUUCCAAUCGAACCCGGAGAUAGCUGGUUCUCCUCGAAAUAGCUUUAGGGCUAGCCUCAUGGAUCAUUGGUGGGGGUAGAGCACUGAAUGUGCGCGGGGGCCACAAAGCCUACCAAACGCUAUCAAACUUCGAAUACCAUACAAUGCAGACCAUGGGAGUCAGUCCGCGAGAGAUAAGUUCCGCGGGCAAAAGGGGAACACCCCAGAUCAACCGCUAAGGUCCCCAAGUUCACGUUAAGUGGAGAAGGAUGUGGAAUUGCACAGACAACCAGGAUGUUGGCUCAGAAGCAGCCACACAUUUAAAGAGUGCGUAAUAGCUCACUGGUCGAGUGAUUGUGCGCCGAAGAUGUCCGGGGCUAAACGUGACACCGAAGCGAUGGGUGCAUCUGAAGAAGAUGCGCGGUAGAGGAGCAAUGUGCAGAGGCAGAAGCCGUAUCGAGAGGCACGGUGGACACUGCACAAGAGAGAAUGCCGGUAUGAGUAGCGAGAGGCAUGCGAGAAACAUGCCCGUCGAAAGCCCAAGGUUUCCUGGGGAAGGUUCAUCCGCCCAGGGUAAGUCGGGGCCUAAGCCGAGGACGGAAGUCGUAGGCGAUGGACAGCAGGUGUAGAUUCCUGCACUACCGAUGGAAUGAAGCAGUGACACAGAAGGAUAACUCGAGCAGGGUGAUGGUCAACCCUGUGCAAGCAUCAAGGUUGGGUUGUAGUGAAGUACGCAACCCUAUAAGCUGAGAUGUGAUGCGGACCGAAAUUUCAGUAGGGAAGCGAGUGAGUUCACGCUGGCGAGAAAAGCUGCUAGUAUAUCCAAAGGUACCCGUACCGGAAACCGACGCAGGUGGGCGAGGAGAGAAUCCUGAGACGAACGGGAGAACCCUUGUUAAGGAACUCGGCAAAAUGACCCCGUAACUUCGGGAUAAGGGGUGCCUGCGAGAGCAGGCCGCAGAGAAUAGUCACAAGCGACUGUUUAGCAAAAACACAGGUAUCUGCGAAAGCGAGAGCUGACGUAUAGGUGCUGACACCUGCCCGGUGCUGGAAGGUUAAGGGAACAUGUUAGAGCAAUCGAAGCAUCGAACCGAAGCCCCAGUAAACGGCGGCCGUAACUAUAACGGUCCUAAGGUAGCGAAAUUCCUUGUCGGGUAAGUUCCGACCCG